This 222-nucleotide ribosomal RNA is filed under the name uncultured bacterium. RNAcentral describes it as "partial 16S ribosomal RNA". It matches the Rfam family "Bacterial small subunit ribosomal RNA", at positions 112 to 334 of the family's 1533-position model. The record is from RNAcentral.
CGGACGUGGAUAACCUGCCUCACACAGGGGGAUAACAGUUAGAAAUGACUGCUAAUACCGCAUAAGCGCACGGCAUCGCAUGAUGCAGUGUGAAAAACUCCGGUGGUGUGAGAUGGAUCCGCGUCUGAUUAGGUAGUUGGUGGGGUAACGGCCCACCAAGCCGACGAUCAGUAGCCGACCUGAGAGGGUGACCGGCCACAUUGGGACUGAGACACGGCCCAG